UGCAGUCGCACGAGAAGUUCCCUUCGGGGAGCGAGUAGAGUGGCGCACGGGUGCGUAACACGUAACUAACGUACCCCUUCGCUGGGGAUAACUCCGGGAAACCGGAGCUAAUACCGAAUGAUCUGACGUUGUCUGCGGGCAAUGUCGGUAAAGCCGUAAGGCGCGAAGGGAUCGGGUUGCGGUCCAUUAGCUUGUUGGUAGGGUAAUGGCCUACCAAGGCGACGAUGGAUAGCUGGUCUGAGAGGAUGAUCAGCCACACUGGAACUGAAACACGGUCCAGACUCCCACGGGAGGCAGCAGUUGGGAAUAUUGGACAAUGGGCGAAAGCCUGAUCCAGCAAUCCCGCGUGAGUGAUGAAGGCCUUCGGGUCGUAAAGCUCUUUCAGGGGGGAAGAAUAAACUGACGGUACCCCCAGAAGAAGCACCGGCUAACUACGUGCCAGCAGCCGCGGGUAAUACG
RNAcentral lists this ribosomal RNA (459 nucleotides) under uncultured bacterium. RNAcentral describes it as "bacterial SSU rRNA". It matches the Rfam family "Bacterial small subunit ribosomal RNA", at positions 56 to 527 of the family's 1533-position model. The record is from RNAcentral.